RNAcentral lists this non-coding RNA (335 nucleotides) under Polysiphonia scopulorum. Lineage: Eukaryota; Rhodophyta; Florideophyceae; Ceramiales; Rhodomelaceae. The record is from RNAcentral.
GGGACUGAAAGGAUUUCUACAUUUUAAUAUCUUAUUGAAUUUUUUAAUUAAUUUGUUAAUAUUAUUUAUUUUAUUAAUAAUAUAACUGCAAAGCAUAAUAUUGUAUCUUUUUCUAGAAACCUAGUUACUGCUUAGUUUUUAGAGUUUAAAAUUAUACUUCUUUAUUUAUUUUAAUAAUUCAUAUUUGAAUGCACUAACUAGAAAAUUAAAUUCAUAUAAGCAUUCUAUUUAGUAAAGUAAAAUUUGUUUACAAAAUGUCUUCAAUUUAAAAGUUAAUUAAUGACAGGUUUUAUUAGCUAUUAAAAUGGACGUGGGUUCAAGUCCCACCAGUUCCA